UACAGAGGUCUCAAGCGUUGUUCGGAUUCAUUGGGCGUAAAGGGUGUGUAGGUGGCGCCGUAAGUCGGGUGUGAAAUUUCGGAGCUUAACUCCGAAACUGCAUUUGAUACUGCGGUGCUUGAGGACUGGAGAGGAGACUGGAAUUCACGGUGUAGCAGUGAAAUGCGUAGAUAUCGUGAGGAAGACCAGUGGCGAAGGCGGGUCUCUGGACAGUUCCUGACACUGAGGCACGAAGGCCAGGGGAGCAAACGGG
RNAcentral lists this ribosomal RNA (253 nucleotides) under uncultured bacterium. RNAcentral's name for it is "partial 16S ribosomal RNA". It matches the Rfam family "Bacterial small subunit ribosomal RNA", at positions 524 to 776 of the family's 1533-position model. The record is from RNAcentral.